AGUGAACGCUGGCGGUAGGCCUAACACAUGCAAGUCGAACGGCAGCACAGAGGAGCUUGCUCCUUGGGUGGCGAGUGGCGGACGGGUGAGGAAUACAUCGGAAUCUACUCUGUCGUGGGGGAUAACGUAGGGAAACUUACGCUAAUACCGCAUACGACCUACGGGUGAAAGCAGGGGAUCUUCGGACCUCGCGCGAUUGAAUGAGCCGAUGUCGGUUUAGCUAGUUGGCGGGGUAAAGGCCCACCAAGGCGACGAUCCGUAGCUGGUCUGAGAGGAUGAUCGGCCACACUGGAACUGAGACACGGUCCAGAGUCCUGCGGGAGGGAGCAGUGGGGAAUAUGGGACAAUGGGGGCAAGGCUGAUCCAGCCAUACCGCGUGGGUGAAGAAGGCCUUCAGGUUGUAAAGCCCUUUUGUUGGGAAAGAAAUCCAUCUGGUUAAUACCCGGGUGGGAUGACGGUACCCAAAGAAUAAGCACCGGCUAACUGCGUGCCAGCCGCCGCGGUAA
Molecule: ribosomal RNA, 506 nt
Filed under: uncultured bacterium
Lineage: Bacteria
Description: partial 16S ribosomal RNA
Rfam family: Bacterial small subunit ribosomal RNA
Source: RNAcentral